CCUACGGGAGGCAGCAGUAAGGAAUAUUGGACAAUGCUCGCAAGAGUGAUCCAGCCAUGCCGCGUGCAGGAAGAAUGCCCUAUGGGUAGUAAACUGCUUUUGAACUAGAGAAAACCCCAGUACGUGUACUGGGCUGAUAGUAUAGUUAGAAUAAGCAUCGGCUAACUUCGUGCCAGCAGCCGCGGUAAGACGAAGGAUGCAAGCGUUAUCCGGAUUCAUUGGGUUUAAAGGGAGCGUAGGUGGACUGAUAAGUCAGUGGUGAAAUCUCCGAGCUUAACUCGGAAAUUGCCAUUGAUACUGUUGGUCUUGAGUACAGUUGCUGUGGGCGGAAUAUGACAUGUAGUGGUGAAAUACAUAGAGAUGUCAUAGAACACCGAUUGCGAAGGCAGCUCACAAAGCUGUAACUGACACUGAGGCUCGAAAGUGCGGGGAUCAAACAGGAUUAGAUACCCUGGUAGUCCGCACCGUAACGAUNAUACUCNCUGCGUAGGGCGACGUUACGUGUCGUAGACGAAGAACGAGUAAGUUAAGUUACGUACCGUUGGGUUAGGUACGCCGGCGACGGAGGAACGACGAAGGAAGUUAGACGGCGNGAGACGNGCGACGGACGACGACGAGGGAGGUAGG
RNAcentral lists this ribosomal RNA (627 nucleotides) under uncultured bacterium. Its description in RNAcentral is "partial 16S ribosomal RNA". The stretch from base 1 to 540 matches the Rfam family "Bacterial small subunit ribosomal RNA", at positions 338 to 873 of the family's 1533-position model. The record is from RNAcentral.